CGGAGGAUCAUUAACGAAAGCUAGAGCGAGGUUGUAGCUGGCUUGCCCCCUCGGGGUCGCGACCGUGCACGCCGCGUCUCCGUCUUUGUCUCUCACACACCUGUGCACCUCUGCGCGGGCCACGGGCGUUCGCUCGUUCGGGGCCCGCGUCCCUUUUGUAACACACUACACACACCCCCUUUGCAUGUCAUCGGAACGCGUCGUUCGCCGUAGGAGCGAAAGAACUUGUACAACUUUCAACAACGGAUCUCUUGGCUCUCGCAUCGAUGAAGAACGCAGCGAAAUGCGAUAAGUAAUGUGAAUUGCAGAAUUCAGUGAAUCAUCGAAUCUUUGAACGCACCUUGCGCCUCUUGGUAUUCCGAGGGGCACGCCUGUUUGAGUAUCGUGAAAUCUUCAACCCGACUCCCCCUUUCUAUCGGAGAAGGGGAAGGGCUUGGACUUUGGAGGUCUUGCCGGUCCCUUUGUCUGGACCCGGCUCCUCUCGAAUGCAUUAGCGGAGCUCCCUCUCCUCUUGCCUCGCCUCUCGGUGUGAUAGCCUGAUCUGCGCCGACGCGUGAAGGGAGGAAGAAGCGCCGCUUCUAACCCAUCUCGUCCAUCCUCUCUCGGGGGGGGGUGGGCGUGCUUCCGAACCCAUCGAUCUCAAAUCAGGCGGGACUACCCGCUGAACUUAAGCAUAUCAAUAAGCGGAGGAAAAGAAACUAACCAGGAUUCCCCUAGUAACUGCGAGUGAAGCGGGAAAAGCUCAAAUUUGUAAUCUGGCGGCCUUUGGCCGUCCGAGUUGUAGUCUGGAGAAGCGCUUUCCGCGCUGGACCGUGUACAAGUCCUCCUGAA
This 831-nucleotide ribosomal RNA is filed under the name uncultured Albatrellus. RNAcentral's name for it is "eukaryotic LSU rRNA". The stretch from base 232 to 385 matches the Rfam family "5.8S ribosomal RNA". Lineage: Eukaryota; Fungi; Basidiomycota; Agaricomycetes; Russulales; Albatrellaceae. The record is from RNAcentral.